Molecule: ribosomal RNA, 948 nt
Filed under: Lactiplantibacillus plantarum
Lineage: Bacteria; Bacillati; Bacillota; Bacilli; Lactobacillales; Lactobacillaceae
Description: bacterial SSU rRNA
Rfam family: Bacterial small subunit ribosomal RNA
Source: RNAcentral
GGUGCUUGCAUCAUGAUUUACAUUUGAGUGAGUGGCGAACUGGUGAGUAACACGUGGGAAACCUGCCCAGAAGCGGGGGAUAACACCUGGAAACAGAUGCUAAUACCGCAUAACAACUUGGACCGCAUGGUCCGAGUUUGAAAGAUGGCUUCGGCUAUCACUUUUGGAUGGUCCCGCGGCGUAUUAGCUAGAUGGUGGGGUAACGGCUCACCAUGGCAAUGAUACGUAGCCGACCUGAGAGGGUAAUCGGCCACAUUGGGACUGAGACACGGCCCAAACUCCUACGGGAGGCAGCAGUAGGGAAUCUUCCACAAUGGACGAAAGUCUGAUGGAGCAACGCCGCGUGAGUGAAGAAGGGUUUCGGCUCGUAAAACUCUGUUGUUAAAGAAGAACAUAUCUGAGAGUAACUGUUCAGGUAUUGACGGUAUUUAACCAGAAAGCCACGGCUAACUACGUGCCAGCAGCCGCGGUAAUACGUAGGUGGCAAGCGUUGUCCGGAUUUAUUGGGCGUAAAGCGAGCGCAGGCGGUUUUUUAAGUCUGAUGUGAAAGCCUUCGGCUCAACCGAAGAAGUGCAUCGGAAACUGGGAAACUUGAGUGCAGAAGAGGACAGUGGAACUCCAUGUGUAGCGGUGAAAUGCGUAGAUAUAUGGAAGAACACCAGUGGCGAAGGCGGCUGUCUGGUCUGUAACUGACGCUGAGGCUCGAAAGUAUGGGUAGCAGACAGGAUUAGAUACCCUGGUAGUCCAUACCGUAAACGAUGAAUGCUAAGUGUUGGAGGGUUUCCGCCCUUCACUGCUGCAGCUAACGCAUUAAGCAUUCCGCCUGGGGAGUACGGCCGCAAGGCUGAAACUCCAAGGAAUUGACGGGGGCCCGCACAAACGGUGGAGCAUGUGGUUUAAUUCUAAACUACCCGAAGAACCUUACCAGGUCUUGGCCUUCUUUGCUAA